Molecule: ribosomal RNA, 301 nt
Filed under: uncultured bacterium
Lineage: Bacteria
Description: partial 16S ribosomal RNA
Rfam family: Bacterial small subunit ribosomal RNA
Source: RNAcentral
CAGCCGCCGCGGUAAUACGAAGGGGGCUAGCGUUGCUCGGGAUGACUGGGCGUAAAGGGCGCGUAGGCGGCAUAUACAGUCAGGCGUGAAAUUCCCGGGCUUAACCUGGGGGCUGCGUUUGAUACGUAUGGGCUAGAGUGGGGAAGAGGGUUGUGGAAUUCCCAGUGUAGAGGUGAAAUUCGUAGAUAUCGGAAGGAACACCUGUGGCGAAAGCGGCUCACUGGACCAUUUCUGACGCUGAUGCACGAAAGCUAGGGGAGCAAACAGGAUUAGAUACCCCCGUAGUCCCUGUCUCUUAUAA